Molecule: long non-coding RNA, 355 nt
Organism: Lathyrus oleraceus (garden pea)
Lineage: Eukaryota; Viridiplantae; Streptophyta; Magnoliopsida; Fabales; Fabaceae
Exons: 2
Source: RefSeq, a predicted model, not a curated record
UCAAUGUGCAUCUUUACCCAAUGAUUGUUCUGGUGUAUUUAAAAACCAUGCAUAUCCUGCCAUGAAUAGGCCAUGUUUGGGAGGUGCAAUGACCAGCAACGGACACACGAAGUGGGUUGGACAGAACACACAAACAAAUGGCCAAAUUGGAUUUUGAAGCAUCAUGAACAAGUAGCAAACUCCAGGAUCAAGAUUGACUUUUAAAAUAGGAUUAGGAUUUAUGGGGUUGAGUUGACUUUGGUCAGAGUUGACCAAAAAGUCAACGGUUGACCAAAGUCAACAAUUGGUCAACACACUCAUUCUUUGUAUUUUUUUCUGUAAUGAUCAUGUAAUGAAUGAAAUUUCUCACUUGAAU